Molecule: ribosomal RNA, 767 nt
Filed under: uncultured bacterium
Lineage: Bacteria
Description: bacterial SSU rRNA
Rfam family: Bacterial small subunit ribosomal RNA
Source: RNAcentral
CGAGCGAGCGGAACCACAGAUUUACUUCGGUAAUGACGUUGGGAAAGCGAGCGGCGGAUGGGUGAGUAACACGUGGGGAACCUGCCCCUAAGUCUGGGAUACCAUUUGGAAACAGGUGCUAAUACCGGAUAAUAAAGCAGAUCGCAUGAUCAGCUUUUGAAAGGCGGCGUAAGCUGUCGCUAAGGGAUGGCCCCGCGGUGCAUUAGCUAGUUGGUAAGGUAACGGCUUACCAAGGCGACGAUGCAUAGCCGAGUUGAGAGACUGAUCGGCCACAUUGGGACUGAGACACGGCCCAAACUCCUACGGGAGGCAGCAGUAGGGAAUCUUCCACAAUGGACGCAAGUCUGAUGGAGCAACGCCGCGUGAGUGAAGAAGGUUUUCGGAUCGUAAAGCUCUGUUGUUGGUGAAGAAGGAUAGAGGUAGUAACUGGCCUUUAUUUGACGGUAAUCAACCAGAAAGUCACGGCUAACUACGUGCCAGCAGCCGCGGUAAUACGUAGGUGGCAAGCGUUGUCCGGAUUUAUUGGGCGUAAAGCGAGCGCAGGCGGAAAAAUAAGUCUAAUGUGAAAGCCCUCGGCUUAACCGAGGAACUGCAUCGGAAACUGUUUUUCUUGAGUGCAGAAGAGGAGAGUGGAACUCCAUGUGUAGCGGUGGAAUGCGUAGAUAUAUGGAAGAGCACCAGUGGCGAAGGCGGCUCUCUGGUCUGCAACUGACGCUGAGGCUCGAAAGCAUGGGUAGCGAACAGGAUUAGAUACCCUGGUAGUCCAU